GUGAGCAUAGUUUAACAAAGACAUUAGAUUGUGAUUCUAAAGAUAGGGGCGAAACCCCCCUUGCCCACC
This 69-nucleotide transfer RNA is filed under the name Rhynchactis macrothrix. Its description in RNAcentral is "tRNA-His". It matches the Rfam family "tRNA". From Rfam's summary of the family: Transfer RNA (tRNA) molecules are approximately 80 nucleotides in length. Their secondary structure includes four short double-helical elements and three loops (D, anti-codon, and T loops). Lineage: Eukaryota; Metazoa; Chordata; Actinopteri; Lophiiformes; Gigantactinidae. The record is from RNAcentral.